GGUAAAAUUUCCCACUGCGAGGCAGGCAGUGAUGCUGCGGCCGCUUCGCACUGUGGCUCCUGCCGACCGCCAGGCGCUGUUACAGUGGAUGCGAACUAACCAUGCAGCAGCAGCCGGAACCCACAGUUCACCUUGGUGCAUUCCUUUAUGAUGAAGACUUAUUGAUUCAUUAUAUGAGAAAGGAAAAAUGAGCAGAAACUACUGUAUGAUGUGCAGCUCACACCAGACAGCAACUUUAGGGUUAUCUUUCCAGUUCAGCAGUGCAACUCUAUGGAGUAGAAUUGAAAGGAGACUUUUCGCCAAUUGCAGGAAAUGGUCAUAAAAAAAUACCUGCUCACUGACAGAAUAAAGUCUCACUCUGUCACCUGGCUGGAGUUUAGUGACACGAUCUUAGCUCCCUGCAACCUCUGCCUCCUGAGUUCAAGUGAUUCUCCUACCUCAGCCUCCUGAGUAGCUGGAAUUACAGGUUCUUCUGCUUCCC
This 481-nucleotide long non-coding RNA is filed under the name Homo sapiens (human). RNAcentral's name for it is "HSALNT0209407". Lineage: Eukaryota; Metazoa; Chordata; Mammalia; Primates; Hominidae. The record is from RNAcentral.